UACGUAGGGGGCAAGCGUUGUCCGGAUUUACUGGGCGUAAAGGAUGCGUAGGUGGAUGUUUAAGUGAGAUGUGAAAUACCCGAGCUCAACUUGGGUGCUGCAUUUCAAACUGGAUAUCUAGAGUGCAGGAGAGGAAAGCGGAAUUCCUAGUGUAGCGGUGAAAUGCGUAGAGAUUAGGAAGAACACCAGUGGCGAAGGCGGCUUUCUGGACUGUAACUGACGCUGAGGCAUGAAAGCGUGGGGAGCAAACAGG
This 253-nucleotide ribosomal RNA is filed under the name uncultured bacterium. RNAcentral's name for it is "partial 16S ribosomal RNA". It matches the Rfam family "Bacterial small subunit ribosomal RNA", at positions 524 to 776 of the family's 1533-position model. The record is from RNAcentral.